RNAcentral lists this ribosomal RNA (254 nucleotides) under uncultured bacterium. Its description in RNAcentral is "partial 16S ribosomal RNA". It matches the Rfam family "Bacterial small subunit ribosomal RNA", at positions 524 to 776 of the family's 1533-position model. The record is from RNAcentral.
UACGUAGGGUGCGAGCGUUGUCCGGAAUUAUUGGGCGUAAAGAGCUCGUAGGCGGUGUGUCACGUCGGCCGUGAAAACCUGCAGCUUAACUGUGGGCGUGCGGUCGAUACGGGCAUCACUGGAGUUCGGCAGGGGAGACUGGAAUUCCUGGUGUAGCGGUGAAAUGCGCAGAUAUCAGGAGGAACACCGGUGGCGAAGGCGGGUCUCUGGGCCGAUACUGACGCUGGGGAGCGAAAGCGUGGGGAGCAAACAGG